GGUGAGUCGGGUCCUAAGGCGAGGCCGACAGGCGUAGUCGAAUGGAUGAACGGGUGGAUAUUCCCGUACCGGCGGCGUACCGUAAGAGCCGAACGGAUGAGUACUAACCUCCGGUCGCGUGGCGUCGUUCCCUUCGGGGUUCGGGGUCCGCGGUCGUUGGGAGCGUAGUCCUGGUAGGCUAGCGCACAGGGGUGACACGGAAUGGGAGCCGGCCGCGGAGGUGGUUUUCCGUGGUCAAGCACGCAGCCCGUCCCAUAGGCAAAUCCGUGGGACGCAUAGGGUGAGGUGUGAUGAUGGGCGUCUUUUAUGGCGCGAUAUCCGGUGGUCCAGGCCGUCGAGAAAAGCCUCGGCGCGAGGGGCGUCGCCGCCCGUACCCCAAACCGACACUGGUGGUCAGGUAGAGAAUACCAAGGCGAUCGAGCGAAUCCUGGUCAAGGAACUCGGCAAAUCACUCCCGUGCCUUCGGUAUAAGGGAGACCCCCGGGCGUGAAGAGGCUUGCCCUCGGAGCGUUGGGGGGUGGCACAGACCAGGGGGUAGCGACUGUUUACCAAAAACACAGGUGCAUGCGAAGGCGCAAGCCGCUGUAUAUGCACUGACGCCUGCCCGGUGCCGGAAGGUUAAGAGGAUCCGUCAGCCCCUUUUGGGGUGAAGCGGUGAAUUCAAGCCCCGGUAAACGGCGGUGGUAACUAUAACCAUCCUAAGGUAGCGAAAUUCCUUGUCGGGUAAGUUCCGACCUGCACGAAUGGCGUAACGACUUCCCCACUGUCUCGACCAGGAGCUCGGCGAAAUUGCAGUACGAGUAAAGAUGCUCGUUAAGCGCAGAAGGACGAAAAGACCCCGGGACCUUUACUAUACCUUGGUAUUGGCGUUAGGCGCGGAUUGUGUAGCAUAGGCGGGAGGCUUCGAAGCAUGGGCGCCAGCCCGUGUGGAGCCGCAAGGUGAAAUACCGCUCUGUUCUCGUUUGACGUCUCACCUCGAACAGUCAUCCUGUUCAGGGACAGUGCCUGGCGGGUAGUUUAACUGGGGCGGUUGCCUCCCAAAGAGUAACGGAGGCGCUCAAAGGUCCGCUCAGCCCGGUUGGCAAUCGGGUUUCGAGUGUAAUCGCACAAGCGGGCUUGACUGCGAGAACGACGGUUCGGGCAGGGACGAAAGUCGGAGAUAGUGAUCCGGUGCCGGCGCACGGGCGCGGCAUCGCUCAACGGAUAAAAGGUACCCCGGGGAUAACAGGCUGAUCAUUCCCAAGAGUCCAUAUCGACGGGAUGGUUUGGCACCUCGAUGUCGGCUCGUCGCAUCCUGGGGCUGGAGCAGGUCCCAAGGGUUCGGCUGUUCGCCGAUUAAAGCGGCACGCGAGCUGGGUUCAGAACGUCGUGAGACAGUUUGGUCUCUAUCCUCUGCGCUCGUUGGAAUCCUGAGGAGGCCUGCCCAUAGUACGAGAGGACCUGGGUGGACGGACCUCUGGUAUGCCGGUUGUCGCGCCAGCGGCAUGGCCGGUUGGCUACGUUCGGGAGGGAUAACCGCUGAAAGCAUCUAAGCGGGAAGCCUGCUCCAAGAUUAGGAUUCCUUGACGCUCC
This 1572-nucleotide ribosomal RNA is filed under the name human gut metagenome. RNAcentral's name for it is "bacterial LSU rRNA". It matches the Rfam family "Bacterial large subunit ribosomal RNA", at positions 1378 to 2824 of the family's 2925-position model. The record is from RNAcentral.